CGCUGGCCGAACGUAGGCCUUGAACCGUGGGCAACCCGGCAGGACGCCGGGUUAGCCGCGCUGGGCCAAGGAUGGCCCUUCGCGGCGGCCCACGGUUCAAGGUCUGCGGGCGGGCACAC
Non-coding RNA from Pseudomonas syringae, 119 nucleotides. Lineage: Bacteria; Pseudomonadati; Pseudomonadota; Gammaproteobacteria; Pseudomonadales; Pseudomonadaceae. The record is from Rfam.